Molecule: long non-coding RNA, 234 nt
Organism: Rhododendron vialii
Lineage: Eukaryota; Viridiplantae; Streptophyta; Magnoliopsida; Ericales; Ericaceae
Exons: 2
Source: RefSeq, a predicted model, not a curated record
GAAAAAACACGAAAACACAAAAGAUCAUCCAGCAAUACAAGUCAUUUGCAGUUGCUAUAACUCGAACAUUGUAGACAUCAAACGCCAGAAAGGUCAUCUCCCUGCCUCACUCAAACCCAUCACCCAACCGUAGUACCUCAUCUCUAUUUCUGAACUUAAUUACUGCUUCAGGCGACAAGCGUUUGAAUCCUAUCAACUCCUUCAAAAUCCUCGAUUCCUCAUAAAUGUCCUCUG